GCCUGUUCAAGUAAACAUGGCUGAAGAAAGCCUGAUUGAAGGCGAAGAUGAAAACAUUUUGUAUGAUUUACUUGUCAUUACCGAAUGGCCGGCAGAGACAGAUACUCAGCUGCGAGGCAACAAGGAGCACAACACCUCACUUAUUGCAAAAGCAGUGACCGGGCCAUUCCGCCUAGUCUUGCACUACUUGUGGUACAG
This is a long non-coding RNA of Cottoperca gobio, 198 nucleotides long. RefSeq lists it as uncharacterized. The transcript has 3 exons. NCBI's taxonomy places the organism in Eukaryota, Metazoa, Chordata, Actinopteri, Perciformes, Bovichtidae. The record is from RefSeq and is a predicted model, not a curated record.